UAAUCUGUGGGAUUGUGGAUUGCUGU
RNAcentral lists this non-coding RNA (26 nucleotides) under Mus musculus (house mouse). The record is from RNAcentral. Lineage: Eukaryota; Metazoa; Chordata; Mammalia; Rodentia; Muridae.